GUGCGGGCUUCCUAGGACCUGAUCCUGGGCAGUUGAGGAUUACGUCCCCGAGGUAGGGCCCAUAACGGGUCCGGAGGCGUGCUUGGGGACCUCCGGGCCUCCCCGGUUCCCACUCCUGCGUCCCCGCCCGUGCGGCAUCCCCCUCCCCGGCGCUGCGGCUGGCGCGCGCCCCGCCUGACGCUGCAGCUGGGCCAGCGACUCGCCAUUGGAUUAAAAAUAGCAGCUCCCGCCCGCUGGCCGGCCGGGGCAGGGGCCGAGCCUUCCCAGCCUGAGCUGAUCCUCAGCCCGCGCGGCCGCUGCGUCCAGGUCCUGCUCUCCCGCUGCGCCGCGUUCCUCCCCAGGCCCGCUGCGCUCAGCGGCCAUGCAGCGCCGGGGCGCCCUGUUCAGCGUGCCGGGUGGCGGCGGGAAGAUGGCUGCAGGGGACCUGGGUGAGCUGCUGGUGCCUCACAUGCCCACGAUCCGCGUGCCUAGGUCAGGGGACCGCGUCUACAAAAACGAGUGCGCCUUCUCCUACGACUCUCCGAACUCUGAAGGAGGACUCUAUGUAUGCAUGAAUACAUUUUUGGCUUUUGGAAGGGAACACGUUGAAAGACAUUUUCGGAAAACUGGACAGAGCGUGUACAUGCACCUGAAGAGGCACAUGCGAGAGGUAAGAGGAGCUUCUGGUGGAGCUUUACCCAAAAGGAGGAAUUCUAAACUAUUUUUAGAUCUAGAUAUGGAUGACGAUUUAAAUAGUGACGAUUACGAAUAUGAAGACGAAGCCAAACUUGUUAUAUUCCCAGACCACUAUGAAAUAGCCCUUCCUAACAUUGAGGAGUUACCAGCCCUGGUAACAAUUGCUUGCGAUGCAGUGCUCAGCUCAAAGUCCCCGUAUAGGAAGCAGGAUCCAGACACGUGGGAAAACGAACUGCCAGUAUCGAAGUACGCCAACAACCUCGUGCAGCUGGACAACGGGGUCAGGAUUCCUCCGAGUGGCUGGAAGUGUGCCCGAUGUGACCUGCGGGAGAACCUCUGGUUGAAUCUGACUGACGGCUCUGUUCUGUGUGGGAAGUGGUUUUUUGACAGCUCAGGGGGCAAUGGCCAUGCACUGGAGCAUUACAGAGACAUGGGCUAUCCUCUGGCCGUGAAGCUGGGCACCAUCACGCCGGAUGGAGCAGAUGUUUAUUCUUUUCAAGAAGAGGGGCCUGUUUCGGAUCCUCAUUUGGCCAAACACUUAGCACACUUUGGGAUUGACAUGCUCCACACACAAGGGACAGAGAAUGGGUUCCGGGACAAUGACAUCAAGCUGAGAGUCAGCGAGUGGGAAGUGAUCCAGGAGUCAGGAACCAAGCUGAAGCCAAUGUACGGCCCAGGGUACACGGGCCUGAAGAACCUGGGCAACAGUUGCUACCUCAGUUCUGUCAUGCAGGCCAUCUUCAGCAUCCCAGAGUUCCAGAGAGCGUAUGUAGGAAACCUCCCAAGGAUAUUUGACUACUCACCAUUAGAUCCAACGCAGGACUUCAACACACAGAUGACUAAGUUGGGACAUGGCCUCCUCUCUGGCCAGUACUCGAAGCCUCCGGUGAAAUCUGAGCUCAUUGAACAGGUCAUGAAGGAGGAGCACAAGCCUCAGCAGAAUGGGAUCUCUCCACGAAUGUUCAAGGCCUUUGUCAGCAAGAGUCACCCAGAAUUUUCCUCCAAUAGACAGCAGGAUGCCCAGGAGUUUUUCUUGCAUUUGGUUAAUCUGGUAGAGAGGAAUCGCAUUGGCUCAGAAAACCCAAGUGAUGUUUUCCGGUUUUUGGUGGAGGAGCGAAUUCAAUGCUGUCAGACCAGAAAGGUCCGCUACACAGAGAGGGUGGACUACCUUAUGCAGUUACCAGUGGCAAUGGAGGCAGCAACCAACAAAGAUGAGCUGAUUGCCUAUGAACUAAUGCGGAGGGAAGCAGAAACCAACAGGAGACCCCUUCCAGAGCUGGUACGAGCCAAGAUCCCAUUCAGUGCCUGCCUUCAGGCCUUUGCUGAACCAGACAAUGUGGAUGAUUUCUGGAGCAGUGCUCUGCAGGCCAAGUCUGCAGGGGUCAAAACAUCUCGCUUUGCCUCAUUCCCUGAAUACUUGGUAGUGCAGAUAAAGAAGUUCACUUUUGGUCUUGACUGGGUUCCCCGAAAAUUUGAUGUUUCUAUUGAUAUGCCAGAUCUACUAGAUAUCAGCCAUCUCAGAGCCAGGGGCUUGCAGCCAGGGGAAGAGGAGCUUCCUGACAUCAGCCCCCCCAUAGUCAUUCCCGAUGACUCAAAAGACCGCUUGAUGAACCAGCUGAUAGACCCCUCAGACAUUGAUGAGUCCUCGGUGAUGCAACUGGCUGAGAUGGGCUUCCCUUUGGAGGCCUGCAGGAAGGCUGUGUACUUCACGGGGAAUACUGGAGCUGAGGUGGCCUUCAACUGGAUUAUCGUGCACAUGGAAGAGCCUGAUUUUGCUGAACCACUGGCCAUACCUGGGUAUGGAGGGGCUGGGGCCUCUGCCUUUGGUGCUACCGGACUGGACAACCAACCUCCUGAGGAAAUCGUAGCUAUUAUCACUGCCAUGGGAUUCCAGCGCAGUCAGGCGAUACAGGCUCUACAAGCAACGGUGAGCACUGGGGACUGUGAAUCUGGGACUACUGACCUUACUGGAGGUGGUUUUCAGUUUGGUUUUUAGCAACAGAGAUCUCCCAAGGCCUUUUGAUCAUUCUACAUCAUCUGCAUCUGACUGUGUCCCAUCACACCUCCUGAAGAUUCAUUUGCACGCAGUAUACCCAAAAUUAAACUGAAUGAACGAGGGACUCAGGUGGUCAACUUAUGUGUAAGGGGAUAUGGAACUGAGCAAGGUGAUCAAGACGUUGAGUGUUCCUUAGUGGGGCUCACAGAUCUGCUUAGAGCAUGACCUUCAGAGCAAAGAGGUGCCAAGGUUCUGGCUUGGGAAGAAAGUUCUUAAGAUGAGAAAUCAUGCUUUUUUGAUAUCAAGACCUUGGACAAAUAGGCCCGAGGUUAUCAAAAUAUGUCUCAGAGUUCUCUACUACUGGUUCCCUCUACAGAGAAGAGGUUCUUUUGGUAGUUGUGAACAUCUCCGUUUAUUUGGAGACAGGGUGUUAUAGGUAUCAGUUUAAUACUUAGGGAAGUACAUUCAAACCUACCCUCCCUUGUCACAUCAGAAUUCAUUCUGAGUAGCAUUCUGCUCCUAGGCCCUUUUGCUUGUGCUGACCAGGUUCCUUUUAGGACUUAUUGCCGAGGUCAUAGUGAGUUUUGGUCAGGUCAGGGGAAUUUUCCCUUUAAAAUUCUCAAACUAUUUCAACCAGAGAUUUUCCCCCUUGGGUGCUCUCUUGAGCCCUACUUGUAUCAUUGAAGUUUCUACAUCCAAACAAAUCCUUUAGCUUGUUAGUGCUGUCACAAACAGGGGAAGGUAGAAAUAACUUCAUGAUGGGUUGGUUUGAACCAUUUGGGAUUCCAUUAAAGCGACCAUUAGCUAAGGCGUCAUCUGUUCUCCAGUUCUUCCAGUACUUAAGACAUGGAGGCACUGACCCAGUGUGCACAUUGGCAUCUUCACCUCACAGAAUCAUCUGCAGAAGAUGCAGUCGGUCAAAAAGAUAGUGCAUAUAAUGACUUUGGCUGCAGAAAGGGCUGCAUGCGAAUGCUGACCUCUUCCCUUUUACACCCUUGUCAUUGGCACCAGCCUGCAGCACUGCUGAGCUAAGACAAGUGGAGACUCCAUAGCUGAUGUGCUGCUCUGAACCACUUCCUGGUGACUGCAGUGGGGUAGGGUAUAGGUGGGAGAGUGGCAGUGUCCAAGCCUCUGACUCAGAAGUAUUUGGCACCAGUUCGCCUAGCUGCUUGACAUCUGGUGCAGAUGUUCGGAACUCGAUGAGGCCCGAAUGUUGAGUGCACUGUGAACUUCCUUUCUUCAGAACCAUAACCUGGAAAGAGCACUGGACUGGAUCUUCAGCCACCCUGAGUUUGAAGAGGACAGUGACUUUGUCAUCGAGAUGGAGAACAAUGCGAAUGCAAACAUCAUGUCUGAGGCCAAGCCAGAGGGGCCCAGAGUCAAGGAUGGGUCUGGAAUGUAUGAGUUGUUUGCGUUCAUCAGUCACAUGGGAACAUCUACAAUGAGUGGCCAUUAUGUUUGCCAUAUCAAGAAGGAGGGACGAUGGGUGAUCUACAAUGACCACAAAGUUUGUGCCUCAGAAAGGCCCCCCAAAGACCUGGGAUAUAUGUACUUUUACCGCAGGAUACCAAGCUAAACCUCACAAGAAUUGGCGAGAAGAAGCCAUACACCUUUAUAAUUUGCCAAAAAGAAAAAAAAAAAAAAAAAAAAAAGGAAAAUAAAGGAAAAAGUUGGGACAGCCGGAUGGAGGACUACAUGGGUAUUUACUGCUCCUUUCAAGAGCGUGGUCACUCGAUGCCUUCUGGAGAAGAACUGGGGAGAAAAUUCUGUUGGCGGUGAUAUUCUGUCCUGGGAGAUUUUGUAACUGUUCAGGGAGAGAGUGGCGGAAGCAAAGGCACUGUCCACCGGCCCCUCAGAGAGGCACUGUCUUCCCCUCUCUUCUACUUGGGGGGGUCACCAGUGAGGGCCCCCCACAGUGAGAAAAAUGCCCACUUUUAAAAUUUUUCCACAUAGGAAAUCAAAACCUGGACUGGCUUUUAUUGGUGGCACUGUGUUUUCAUUUCCCACAGUAAGUUCUGUGCACUAGGACAUCUGCGGUGAGAGCUAUUUUUAAUUUAAAUCACGUCAAACUUUAUAUUACACCGUAUGAGUGUGUGUGUGUGUGUGUGUGUGUGUGUGUGUGUGUGAGAGAGAGAGAGAGAGAGAGAGAGAGAGAGAGAGAGAGAGAGAGAGCUUUGUAGUCUGCUGUACGUCUGAUGGAUUGGUGUUCAAAGGCCAAAUAGCUGCUUUUAGGCAUAUUUGGAAAAGGCAGGCAAACAUCUUUAAAACUUACAACUCAGGAACAAUUGUUAAAAGUGAGUUCCCCACUUGGAUUUUAAAGUACAGAGAGCUGAGCUGUGGCCCCUUAAGUGCUGUCUGGCAUUCAUGUGGGUCUGUGUCGUUUGACCUUGAUGCCAGGUGCCUAAGUCUUGUCACUGUGCUUUGCCAAGGGCAGAUGGGAUCUCUUCCUCAGUAGGGCAUUCCCUCAAAGCUUUGUGUUUUGUUUUAGUUAAAUAACUGGUCUCCCAAGCUCCUGCUUACUCCCUGGGAUCACGUUAGAUGCCUGUGGUUUGUCUGAUAUUUUGGUCUCUGAACUUUCUUGUGUUUUCACAUCUCUGCUUCUCUGGGGCCAGUUUCACCUCUGCCCUCACUGUCUAUCUGCUGUGGCCCAUGGUACAACCUGGGGCGCUUUAAGGAUGCAAGCUGCAGAAACACCUCUGUUGCAGCUGCACAGCCAGGGCCUUCCCUCCGUGUCAUUUUAGGGUCCUAGCUGUGGUCUGAGAUCAGAGCAGAGUUGUGGAUGUGCAGUGGAGAGGAACCAGAGCUCUCCAUAAUUUUCUUACUACUUCUCAUCAAAUUCCAGCCUCUGGAGUCUCUAGUUCAGAUUAUUGAUCAGAUGGGAAAGGAUUUAUUGCUGUCUGCUUGAUGUGUGCUUGUUUGAUUGAUCUUUGCAGAAACUGCAGAAAAAAAAUGAUGAAAUAGAAAUAGAAUGGGCUGAGUAAGCAGAGACAUUGGGUUGGGAUGGGAUGAGUCUGAACAGUCAGAGUUCAAACCCUGAGGCCCUGUCUCAAGGAAGUCCCCGUGUAAGUCCGGGCUGUGGGGCAGGGCCACGGGCCUGGGUGCUUCUGGGUGCUGUCUCAGUUGGCUAUGGGCCAGUCCUUCCAUCUGUGCCUCAUUCUCCUCAUCCGCAUGGUGGUCAGGUGACACCUCCCCUCUUUCUAGCAGGCUUUGAUUAAUUCUGAAGAACCUCUACUGAACAGAAGGUGGAACGUGGUAGGCCCCACUAGAGAGUGCUCCUGUCUUCUUGACUUACCUGUUGUGUUUUCCACUUGGGAAUAAAUGACAUCACGGGAGGGAGCUCAUGAUUCUCUCUGACACUGUCCCACUGAGGUACCUUUGAGGCUUGGCUCAGAGAUCCUAAGUCUCUGUCCUGUGUGUCCCUGACCAGCGCCCCUACCCCGAAGUGGAAAUUCACACACCAAGCAGCCUUACAAAUGUAGUCCCUAUAGGGCCACAUAUGGUAGGAUAAUGACUGGCCUUCAGUGGCUGGUUUGCAGUGUUACAAAGCAAAGGCCUUUCACGUGGGUAGGGGCCUCUCAGGAGGUUUGAAUUCAAAUGUGGUCAGAGAUAGUAUAUAUAUUUUGGACAAAAUAAGAAGUUUUUAUAAAACUUUGCAAGCUCAACAUUGUAAAAUCCACAUUAAAGAUUUUAGGCUAUAAACCGUUUAAUUUUAUUAGGUAGAAGAAGCAAAUUAAUCCUUCUGAUGCCAAGACAUACUUCGAGAAAGUGGAUAAUGACUGCCUCUUCCCUGCCUCACAAACACAAGGGCUAUUCAUGGCAAAGUUUUGUAUAUGUGCUAUUCUUCACUCAGAUCAGGAGCUGGACGCACCGGCGUGGGCAGUGCCUUGCUUUCUCGUUAGAAAUGUGCUUGCAUGUGUCUCCUGGUAUAGGCAAACCAGCCGCUCUAGAGUACCAGUGGGAUAUAUCACUUAUCUUACGUGUGUAAAUGGGAUGCUUGUGGCCACAACUGGAACAACGUGGGCUGUGUCUGCUGACCCACCUGCUAGGAGUCUUUUUGUGUGAGAUGUGGCGUGAUUGUGUGGCUCUCUCUCCAUGUGUAGGCAUCUGUGUGGAGGACAGAGCUUUCUUCCUGUAAAUAUCUUUUGAUAUCCAUUUGUGUAGACUCCCAAUAUGUCUUUGGAAAAUGGAUCUGUUUUGUCAGUUGGUCGAAAUACCCAAAUAACAAGUCAGAAAUCCAGCUUGGUAUAGGUUUUCUUUUUUUUCUGAAUGAGAAGAAUCUGGGAAGAAUCAUAUUUUAAUGACAUUUUAUAUCAAUGUUCCUUCAGUAUUUUGGAAUCGACGAGCUUGUUUUCCCAAGCCUUUAAGAGAAUGUGCCUGCCAUUUCCCCUGCAUCCCUUUGGGCUCCCAUUACCUCAGCUGAAGACUUACAAGUGUGCUUAUGUCCUGACAGCAUCUCUGUGUCACAUGCCUGAGUCUCACUGCUGCUGGGCCCUUGUCUCUGGACCAGGAGGUUAGACCAGAUAAUCUGUGAAGUCUCCUUCUGUCUGGCCACUACAUUUUGUGUUUAUUUUUCUGUGGUUCUGUCCAGAAUCAGACAUGAGCUGUGGUGGUCACUCAGGAGUUUCAGUGUUGGAGUCUGCAGCUAUUCUAGCUUGUAGGUUGCUGACAUCAUUGGUCCACAUCCCAUUUCUCUUCCUGAUCUAUUUUCUUUGGUAAUCUCACUUCCCCCCAACCCUGAACUCAAAACUUUUCAGUCUAUGAGGCCCUUUGCUACUGCCCCCCUCCAAACAAAAGCAGCAAUCCAUGUAUGCCACCCUCUUGGAAAAGUCUCAGAAUGCCUCUCAGCUUGCUCUGACAUGCACAAUAUUUUAAAAUCCUGAUUCCGUUGUUGCUAGUCCCAUCCCCAGAUAUGUGCUGCCGAAGCUGUCUGUCCUAGAAAGGGUGUCUUCAUCGUCAUAGAUGCCAUGGCUUCUGGAUCUCAUCACAGAUCUUCAUAGUCUGUGGGGUUGCCAGGAGACAUGAGCAGAACAGAGGAUGGCAUUAGAUAUAAUGUGCUUCUGCCUGUCAGGGCAGUAUCUCAGGGGACAGAACAAGGUCUGUGCUGUGAAGCUGGUGGGUGCCACCUACUCGAUGCCACCAGGAUUUCCUAAUUUGAUUUUCAUUGGUGUAAUAAAGACGAUGAACAAAAACAAGUUGGGAAGGAAAGGGUUCAUUUGGUCUUAUAAAGUAACACUCCACCAGGAGGGGAAGUCAGGGCAGGAACUGAAGGCAGGAACUGAGGCAGAGGCCGUGGAGGAGUGCUUCUUACUGGCUUGUUCCCCACUGCUCUCUCAGCCUGCUUUCCAGGACCACCCACACUGGGCUGGGCCCUCCCUCACCAAUCAUUAAUCAAGAAAAUGUCCCAUAGGCUUACCCACGAGCUGAUCUUAAAGGAAGCAUUUUCUCAGUUGAGGUUGCCUCUUUCAGAUGAUCUUAGCUUGAGUCAAAUGAACCCGAACAAACACACACAACCUAAUCAGCACAGUCCUCUGUAAUCCAUCACCCUUAUAGUUGGUGGCAGAGUCUGUAGCUCUCUAGCCUGGUGGGACUUGGUCAGUCCAUACUAAGAUUGUUCCAUAUACAUAAAACGCACACUAAUACUUGGAAAGCUUCAACAAGCAGAACGACUGUUGCAAAUGAUGUUGACUGCAUGUGAUGGUAAUUUAAUAUUAAAUUUUCCACUGUCAUUUGUUCUUAGCACAGCUACUGAGCAAUUCAGAAGUGUGCCUAAGGCCCAGCCAUUAUUGUUCUGCACUGAGAGGUCGCCAGUGAAAUCCCAUGAGUGAGACAGGACCCUGCAGAGGCUCUGAAUCAAAACAACACAGAUGAUUUUGCUGGAGUUGAGGGCGCAUGAAGCACUGGACAAGGCCCAGAAACCACAAGAAGAGCCUUGUAGUUUCUGGGGCUAUUUUGCUUAAGCACCCCCCCCCACCCCCCUUCAGCUGCAAAAGCAGUGCGCCCCCCAGUGGCCUUCUCUUGGCCUUGCUCCGGAGCUGCCCUGUAGAUUAGCAGCUGUUUUCCCAGCAUUCUCCAGGUGCGGUGGAUGUUAGCUGGGGCAGAGGUUUGGGCAUACUGCUUUCAAUUCAGGCAACAUUCUCUUGUGGUCCCUCUCCCCGUGUCCUGUAUUCUGUUCCCAGCUGGGCAUGUGGAAAGGCUGUGUGGAUCUCAGCUCCUCCGCUUGCACAGAGGCUGAGCCUGACCUGUGCCCGUCUGCUCAGCAGUGUUACUGUUGGUGGCUGGAAGACUUGGUAUUUAUUUAUUUUGCACUAGUCACGGUUGGUGUGGAAACUACUUCAAGUGUUUGGGAGACUACUUGCCUGUAACGGAAAGAGAUGGAUAAUUUAUUGCUUUGAUAGUUUUAAAUUAAAAGCUAUUCUCACAAACUCA
RNA transcript from Rattus rattus (black rat), 9097 nucleotides. It is a transcript of the gene named ubiquitin specific peptidase 13, with no coding region annotated. The record is from RefSeq and is a predicted model, not a curated record. Lineage: Eukaryota; Metazoa; Chordata; Mammalia; Rodentia; Muridae. The transcript has 20 exons.